Spea bombifrons (plains spadefoot toad) is the source of this 520-nucleotide long non-coding RNA. RefSeq lists it as uncharacterized. NCBI's taxonomy places the organism in Eukaryota, Metazoa, Chordata, Amphibia, Anura, Pelobatidae. The transcript has 3 exons. The record is from RefSeq and is a predicted model, not a curated record.
GAACAUCGGAAUUACGGAGCGGACGGAUCACGGAUCGAAAUGUUCUUGUGACGUCGGCGUGGAGCGUCCGUCCGCACCAAACUAAACCCAAAGAUGGAUCUCAAAGCUACAUCAACCCACCACCUACACUCGCCCACUUAUUCUUUCCAAGGCUGCAGCUUCUACCUCAGGCCAUGGCCCUUGUGUGAGCCGUCAUUGAGAUGUCAAUCCUGCAAAUACAAAGAUCAGAAGAUCUCCCCUGGACGGCCCGGCAAGCUGUGAUUUCAGUUGUAUCUUUAGUUUUGCAGCAGAGACCUCAAUUACAAUUCCAAAAUGGCCUCCUCGAGAGGCACUGAAGCCGAGUGCAGGCAUACAAAGCUCUCCUUCAACGUGUCGCAAGGUGGUAAGCGCCAUGACCUGCCCUGCAUCUAACCACACACCCCUACAACUAAGGUGUCCCCAUUUUGGGCUCCUGAAAGGUUAAGGGGUGUCAGUGGGAAGUCUUUUGAUCUCUCCAUUGAGUCCAUCACCACCACUGCAA